This 253-nucleotide ribosomal RNA is filed under the name uncultured bacterium. RNAcentral's name for it is "partial 16S ribosomal RNA". It matches the Rfam family "Bacterial small subunit ribosomal RNA", at positions 524 to 776 of the family's 1533-position model. The record is from RNAcentral.
UACGUAGGGUGCGAGCGUUAAUCGGAAUUACUGGGCGUAAAGCGUGCGCAGGCGGUUCGUUAAGUCAGAUGUGAAAUCCCCGGGCUCAACCUGGGAACUGCAUUUGUGACUGCAUCGCUGGAGUGCGGCAGAGGGGGAUGGAAUUCCGCGUGUAGCAGUGAAAUGCGUAGAUAUGCGGAGGAACACCGAUGGCGAAGGCAAUCCCCUGGGCCUGCACUGACGCUCAUGCACGAAAGCGUGGGGAGCAAACAGG